GUAAAGGGCAUGUAGGCGGUCUGUUAAGUCUGGUGUGAAAGCCCCCGGGCUCAACCCCGGAAGUGCAUCAGAUACUGGCCGACUUGAGUAUGGGAGAGGAAAGUGGAAUUCCGAGUGUAGGAGUGAAAUCCGUAGAUAUUCGGAGGAACACCAGUGGCGAAGGCGGCUUUCUGGACCAAUACUGACGCUGAGAUGCGAAAGCGUGGGGAGCGAACAGGAUUAGAUACCCUGGUAGUCCACGCCGUAAACGAUGGGUACUAGAUGUUGCGGGUAAUCACUCCUGCAGUGUCGCAGCUAACGCAUUAAGUACCCCGCCUGGGGAUUACGGCCGCAAGGCUAAAACUCAAAAGAAUUGACGGGGGCCCGCACAAGCGGUGGAGCAUGUGGUUUAAUUCGACGCAACGCGAAGAACCUUACCUGGGCUUGACAUCCCGAUCGUACUCUAUGGAAAGAUAGAGGUCAGCUUGGCUGGAUCGGUGACAGGUGCUGCAUGGCUGUCGUCAGCUCGUGUCGUGAGAUGUUGGGUUAAGUCCCGCAACGAGCGCAACCCUUGUCCUUAGUUGCCAUCAUUAAGUUGGGCACUCUAGGGAAACUGCCGGUGUUAAACCGGAGGAAGGUGGGGAUGACGUCAAGUCCUCAUGGCCCUUAUGCCCAGGGCUACACACGUGCUACAAUGGCCGGUACAAAGGGCAGCGAUACCGCAAGGUGGAGCAAAUCCCAAAAAGCCGGUCUCAGCUCGGAUUGGAGUCUGCAACUCGACUCCAUGAAGUUGGAAUCGCUAGUAAUCGCGUAUCAGCAUGACGCGGUGAAUACGUU
RNAcentral lists this ribosomal RNA (816 nucleotides) under uncultured bacterium. RNAcentral describes it as "bacterial SSU rRNA". It matches the Rfam family "Bacterial small subunit ribosomal RNA", at positions 560 to 1372 of the family's 1533-position model. The record is from RNAcentral.